GGUUCCAUGGUGUAAUGGUUAGCACUACAGACUCUGAAUCUGGCGAUUCAAGUUCAAGUCUUGGUGGAACCU
This 72-nucleotide transfer RNA is filed under the name Clytia hemisphaerica. RNAcentral describes it as "tRNA-Gln for anticodon CUG". It matches the Rfam family "tRNA". From Rfam's summary of the family: Transfer RNA (tRNA) molecules are approximately 80 nucleotides in length. Their secondary structure includes four short double-helical elements and three loops (D, anti-codon, and T loops). Lineage: Eukaryota; Metazoa; Cnidaria; Hydrozoa; Leptothecata; Clytiidae. The record is from Rfam by way of RNAcentral.